CUCGAGGUGACGAGCGGCGGACCCCGUUUAGUAAUGUCUGGGAAACUGCCUGAUGGAGGGGGAUAACUCCUGGAAACGGUAUCUAAUACCGCAUAAUGUCGCAAGACAAAAGUGGGGGACCUUCGGGCCUCAUGCCAUCAGAUGUGCCCAGAUGGGAUUAGCUAGUAGGUGGGGUAACGGCUCACCUAGGCGACGAUCCCUAGCUGGUCUGAGAGGAUGACCAGCCACACUGGAACUGAGACACGGUCCAGACUCCUACGGGAGGCAGCAGUGGGGAAUAUUGCACAAUGGGCGCAAGCCUGAUGCAGCCAUGCCGCGUGUGUGAAGAAGGCCUUCGGGUUGUAAAGCACUUUCAGCGGGGAGGAAGGCGUUGAGGUUAAUAACCUUGUCGAUUGACGUUACCCGCAGAAGAAGCACCGGCUAACUCCGUGCCAGCAGCCGCGGUAAUACGGAGGGUGCAAGCGUUAAUCGGAAUUACUGGGCGUAAAGCGCACGCAGGCGGUCUGUCAAGUCGGAUGUGAAAUCCCCGGGCUCAACCUGGGAACUGCAUUCGAAACUGGCAGGCUAGAGUCUUGUAGAGGGGGGUAGAAUUCCAGGUGUAGCGGUGAAAUGCGUAGAGAUCUGGAGGAAUACCGGUGGCGAAGGCGGCCCCCUGGACAAAGACUGACGCUCAGGUGCGAAAGCGUGGGGAGCAAACAGGAUUAGAUACCCUGGUAGUCCACGCCGUAAACGAUGUCGAUUUGGAGGUUGUGCCCUUGAGGCGUGGCUUCCGGAGCUAACGCGUUAAAUCGACCGCCUGGGGAGUACGGCCGCAAGGUUAAAACUCAAAUGAAUUGACGGGGGCCCGCACAAGCGGUGGAGCAUGUGGUUUUAAUUCGAUGCAACGCGAAGAACCUUACCUGGUCUUGACAUCCACAGAACUUUCCAGAGAUGGAUUGGUGCCUUCGGGAACUGUGAGACAGGUGCUGCAUGGCUGUCGUCAGCUCGUGUUGUGAAAUGUUGGGUUAAGUCCCGCAACGAGCGCAACCCUUAUCCUUUGUUGCCAGCGGUUCGGCCGGGAACUCAAAGGAGACUGCCAGUGAUAAACUGGAGGAAGGUGGGGAUGACGUCAAGUCAUCAUGGCCCUUACGACCAGGGCUACACACGUGCUACAAUGGCAUAUACAAAGAGAAGCGACCUCGCGAGAGCAAGCGGACCUCAUAAAGUAUGUCGUAGUCCGGAUUGGAGUCUGCAACUCGACUCCAUGAAGUCGGAAUCGCUAGUAAUCGUAGAUCAGAAUGCUACGGUGAAUACGUUCCCGGGCCUUGUACACACCGCCCGUCACACCAUGGGAGUGGGUUGCAAAAGAAGUAGGUAGCUUAACCUUCGGGAGGGCGCUUACCACUUUGUGAUUCAUGACUGGG
Molecule: ribosomal RNA, 1403 nt
Filed under: Klebsiella pneumoniae
Lineage: Bacteria; Pseudomonadati; Pseudomonadota; Gammaproteobacteria; Enterobacterales; Enterobacteriaceae
Description: bacterial SSU rRNA
Rfam family: Bacterial small subunit ribosomal RNA
Source: RNAcentral